Molecule: ribosomal RNA, 165 nt
Filed under: uncultured bacterium
Lineage: Bacteria
Description: partial 16S rRNA
Rfam family: Bacterial small subunit ribosomal RNA
Source: RNAcentral
UAGGGAAUCUUCGGCAAUGGGGGGCAACCCUGACCGAGCAACGCCGCGUGAGUGAAGAAGGUUUUCGGAUCGUAAAGCUCUGUUGUAAGAGAAGAACGUGUGUGAGAGUAACUGUUCAUUCGAUGACGGUAUCUAACCAGCAAGUCACGGCUAACUACGUGCCAG